AUGUGUGCAAAAAAGCGCCCUGUAAAACCCAUAAGCUUUCGUGUUAGCACUGCCGCCGAGGGGUGUCAUGCCAGGAUCGACCCAACACAGGACUCCCGGAAAGUGCCCAUCACCUUCCGGGUCUUCACCUCCCCGGCACUUGCAGCCCCUGCGCAGCUGCAGUGGUGGAUUCCUUCAGCACGUGUCCUGCCGGGCACCCCUAGCCACCCUCACAACUGGCACGAUAGGGCUUCUUGCCCGUGGGGCUUUAAGUCAUUCUGAGGCUGGUUCCCUAAGUGUCAGCCUCACCGGGUACCACCUCAGUGUAUUUGGGUAGGCCGUGAUGCCAGUGCUGACUCUGUUUACUGGGAGCUGUUAAUCUGGAGAUUUGGACCAGAGAAAGGGUAUUUGAACAAGAGUCCACGAUCUUCAUCCCUACCCGGCCCCAGCAGCCUUGGAUCCAGGGGUGGGUGACUCAUCAGAAGUUGCACUUUUUGCCGGGGAUGGUGAAGCGUGCCUGUAAUCCUACCACUUUGGGAGGCUGAGGCCAAGAAGACGCUGGAGGGAGGCUGUUAGGAGGGAUGCUGAGCUUCACACCUGUCUGCUGCCGUGGGUGCAGAGCCCUAGUCCUGAUGGCCCCUGGUGGCACACAUUGAAUGCCUAGGGCAGAAAGGAAGUGGGAAUGGCGAAGAUGUGACGUUCCUCGGUGUUAGAUCCUGUUUCUUCUUA
This 708-nucleotide small RNA is filed under the name Pongo abelii (Sumatran orangutan). Its description in RNAcentral is "processed transcript". The record is from RNAcentral. Lineage: Eukaryota; Metazoa; Chordata; Mammalia; Primates; Hominidae.